Long non-coding RNA from Nanorana parkeri, 96 nucleotides. RefSeq lists it as uncharacterized. The transcript is spliced from 3 exons. Lineage: Eukaryota; Metazoa; Chordata; Amphibia; Anura; Dicroglossidae. The record is from RefSeq and is a predicted model, not a curated record.
UUAUUGAGCCAUGGGCAAAGCCAUGUCUCAAGAGGAGGGAUGGUACAGAUAAUUGAAAGAGUGUUCACAGCAUAUGGCUUCACUAAUUAGAGAAAA